UGAGUCUCCUGAAGGAACGUUGAAGACGACGACGUUGAUAGGCCGGGUGUGUAAGCGCAGCGAUGCGUUGAGCUAACCGGUACUAAUGAACCGUGAGGCUUAACCUUACAACGCCGAAG
This 119-nucleotide ribosomal RNA is filed under the name Salmonella bongori. RNAcentral's name for it is "partial 23S ribosomal RNA". The stretch from base 1 to 107 matches the Rfam family "Bacterial large subunit ribosomal RNA", at positions 2819 to 2925 of the family's 2925-position model. RNAcentral also lists the same sequence under 1 other name. The record is from RNAcentral. Lineage: Bacteria; Pseudomonadati; Pseudomonadota; Gammaproteobacteria; Enterobacterales; Enterobacteriaceae.